CACGAAACCAGGCGAGCUACUACGGAGCGUAUUAUAGUACAAAUUAUGUAGCAUAAUAAUAGUAGACUCUGUGGUAGGAGUGAUAGGCUGCCCAAGUUUGGUGAUAUCUUGUUUACCUUGAAAUGUAUUGAGUACAUCUCUAAUUUAUCAGUGAUAAGGCUGGUAAAGGAUAUAUAAUUCGAUUAUUUGUAUAAGCAUAGUAUAACUGCUAGCUGGCUUGUAAACUCAAUAUUAAUGUCCAUGUUUAAUAAAAUGUAGGGGUCAAUAUUUAAUUAGUCUYACUAUUUAUAUUGUAAACAUAAGUANNUACAAACAUUAUUGAUGAACUCGGCAACAUUUCUUUCACCUGUUUAUCAAAAACAACGCCAGUAGGAGAUAUUAUUGGUUUAUUCUGCUCCAUGUAAACAUAAAUAGCCGCAGUACCCUGACUGUGCAAAGGUAGCAUAAUCAUUUGGCUUAUAAUUGAAGUCUAGGAUGAAAGAAUUCAUGGGGGAAAACUCUAUUGAUAAUGACACAAUGAAUUUGCUUAGUGGGUGCAAAUACCCACUUGAUAACAAUAGACGAGAAGACCCUUGAAAUUUUUACGAUGUGUAAGGAAAAGUUUUUGUUGGGGCAACAACGUAGCAUUAAACCUACGGUAAUUACACGACACUCUGUGGUAAGAUUAAAUUACUCUAGGGAUAACAGCGUAAUUCUUCAAAGUUUGCGACCUCGAUGUUGGACUAGGAAGCGAUUGCUUAGAA
RNAcentral lists this ribosomal RNA (743 nucleotides) under Amplirhagada moraniana. Its description in RNAcentral is "partial 16S ribosomal RNA". It matches the Rfam family "Archaeal large subunit ribosomal RNA", at positions 790 to 2628 of the family's 2987-position model. Lineage: Eukaryota; Metazoa; Mollusca; Gastropoda; Stylommatophora; Camaenidae. The record is from RNAcentral.